Molecule: long non-coding RNA, 511 nt
Filed under: Lactuca sativa (garden lettuce)
Lineage: Eukaryota; Viridiplantae; Streptophyta; Magnoliopsida; Asterales; Asteraceae
Description: long non-coding RNA (LSAT_LNC006717)
Source: RNAcentral
AAAAAUUAAAUAAUUCAUGUUUUACAUCAUCGCAUAAUUUCAGCAAAUAAACAAAGAAUUCAGAACCUUUAAAGCCUACAAACUACAUGAACAUAUAGCAAGAUUACCGAAAAUAAUCCACCUCUUAAAAGUGUUUUGACAUAUUACAACUUUGCUAAAUAAGUAAAUAACCCUUUUCCUGAAUCAUAAACCUCAAGAAAACCAUAGUUAUCACCUAUAGUCCCACCACUUUCAGAUACUUGUUAAACAAACCCCCAAAUCUAUACAAACACUUAAAUUACAUUUAAACCCCUUUCCUUCAUCCAAACGUAUACCCCAAAACAAUAUCAAAUAUCACCAACAACAAUUUACGCACUUGCAUUUGCAUGAACAACACAUGAAGCAUCCGCAUGGACCACAACCACAUCUCAAACAAUCGGGGCAUUUUGGUAAUUUCACAUCCGGGCAUUUCGGUAAUUUCACAUCCGGGCAUUUUGGUUUCUUCCACCCACAGCUCGAUUUGCAACAUUUC